GUCUGUAAAUGCUUUAAGGUUUCAUUAUUUUUCCAAUGUCUGUUACGCUUAUAUUGAAUCCUAAAGAUUAAUCAUAUAACAACCUUGAAUUACUAGUUAUAACAUUGUAAAAGCCACCAAAUAAUUUCACUCAAGGUUGGAUGAAACCAUGACCCUCGACAAAUAUGGAACACCCUGACUUUUUCUGACACCAAAAAUUUAAAUAGUUUAAAACAUUCAAAGAUACAACUAUGAUAAAUUCUCUUUCGAGAGAAUAUUCAAUUCCCAUUGGAAUGUUGUAUGUUAUAUAAAAAGAGGAUAUGGGCCGAGUUUGGGGAAACAACAAAUCAGUGAACACUCCUGACAUUGUAAAUUUCUGAACUUGUCUCAUUUCUAACUUUAUAAGGGUAGUAUCAUUCAUCAUAUUUCUCCUCUCUUGCAUACGUUAGAUUCACAUAAUUUGCUAUACAUCUAAUUCAACAUACAGCAACUACUAGAACACGAAACAAACAAUAUGUAAAACUGAACACAGAAAUUUCCUUGAUGAAAGGCUGAUUCUGGAAUCACCCCAACGAGUCAGCAUGAGAAACAUUGGUUCUACAG
Molecule: long non-coding RNA, 582 nt
Filed under: Phoenix dactylifera (date palm)
Lineage: Eukaryota; Viridiplantae; Streptophyta; Magnoliopsida; Arecales; Arecaceae
Description: long non-coding RNA (PDAC_LNC021218)
Source: RNAcentral